CCGAGCUGAAACCAAGAGUUGGAUGCUCAACCGACUGAGCCUCCGAGGCACCCCAGUCUUGCUUAUUUUGAGGAUGUGAGGGUGUAGAUAACCUAGUAGGGUACUUGAUGAGGAUAUAGGUCAAGGAAUGUUGCUGUCUCUCUUCCUCAUGCUCCUCUGCCUCUCCAGAAAGCAAUCUGCUGGCCAGCCUGCCUCCCGAGUGCGGUCCUCACCAUCGGUGGUGACAGCCGCUGCUGUUAGCUGUGAACUGUGAACUGUGAACCCCAGUGCUGGGCUGUUGGGCCAAAGGGAGUGCCUGAUGGGCAUCUGUCAUCUGCAGAAGGCUUCUGGAGGCUGGCUUCCUCACUGUGGCCACGAGUCUUCAUUUCACAACCUUUCUCAAGUGAUGCAUUUCAGGGCACGCUUUCAAAAUUAUUCCAUCAGAAGAUUUCUGGGUCCACAGAUGACUGUAGAUCUGGACAUCUCUUCCCCUAGGUAUGUUGCCUUUCAUAUCAUUGACAUGUUCCUUUUCUCGCCCCUGUUAGCACUCUCAUCUCAGUUCCAGGGCAGAGCAGGCCUUUGUCAAGGGGAAGAGGGAUGAGUAUUGAUUCCCAGCACUGGUAGCCUUGCCUGGCCAUGCCCAUUCCUACCUCGUGCAACAAGUCCUCCUUUUUCUUUGUGGCUCUGUGCUCUUCUUCAAAGUGUGCUCCUGAGGCCUUCCUAUCUUUGAGCUCAUGGAGGGGUGAAGUCUUUCUCUGGGUCUGCAUCCGAAUCCAUGGUCCAGCCUGGUCUUGACCAGCAGCCAGUCUGUGACCAGAGAGGGUGAAGGGGGACCCCUGUUCAGGGAUCCUGGAACCACACCCUAGCAACCGUUGUCUUGAGACUGUCUGGCCUCAAGGAGCUGUCUAGCAAGUAGGGGAAAGAUCAGAGAUAAAUAACUGGUACCCUGUGAUGACUGCUGCCAUGAAAGUGGGCACGAAGCCAGAGCUGGCACAAAGGAGGAAGGAGUCUGUAUCUCUCGGCAGAAGCCAGCACGGGCUCUAGAAGAGGUGACAUUUAGAUUAAGUUCCCAUACACCAGCCAGGUGGGGAGGGACAGUCCAGGCAUAGUGAAUCCCUAGAAACACUUCUUGGGUUCUCCAAAGAUCCUCUCCUCAACAGUCUCUCCUCCUACAACCUUAGAGAUACCUUGAUUAAUGGUGGUUUCCUCGGUGUCCCUGGUAGAACCAGGGGGAAGGACAAAGCGUGGCGCUCAAUAUGGAAACAGCUAGCAUCAAGGUCCCAAAAAUUCUCACUCAAGGUAGCCAUUUACAAAUCUCUUCCGGGUUGCUGUCUGACGGUGCUGUUCAUCCUUCCAAGCUGGAUCUGUUCAUAACAGUGGAAUUACAAAAAAAUAGAAAAUAUCUGAUUUCAAUACAGUGCAUUGAGUGUUGACCCUAUAGUGGUUAGGAAGGCCGACUGUGUCACUUACUAGUUCUGCGACCUUCAGCAAUGACUUCACCCUUUCUGCCUCAGUGUUCUCAUCUGUAAAAUAGGGGCAAUGUUGGAAGCAACCUCACAAAGUUGCUAGGAGGAGUAGUGGGUGUGUCUUAAUAAAAAAUGUAUAUUUGUUCUUUGUCCCAGUUCUUGACACAGAACUCCUAAAUCCCUUGGGAUUUCCUAGAUUAUAGGAGGAUUUUUUUGUUCUGUGGUGACUCUUAGUGGACCUCUAGAUAGCUUCAGGAUGUGGUCUGGUCACCAGAAAGAUCAAGCCUUAUUUAGAAACCUAACACUUUCUGCCCAACUCUCUGACUCUUGGAGAGAGAGGCUGGAGGUUGAGUGAAUGCGCAAUGGCCAGUGAUUUAAUCAAUUAUACCUACAGAAUGAAACCACUGUAAGAACCCCUAAAUUGGGGGUUUGGAGAGCUUCUGGGUUGCUGGGAGGUUGGCACAGAAACUCUGUGCCCUUUCCCCCACAUCUAGCCCUCCCAGGGGCUCCUCCAUUCGGUUGGUCCUGAGCUGUAUCCUUUAUAAUAAACUGACAACAAGUACUUUCCUGAGUCCUGUGGGUUGUUCAAGCAAAUGAUCAAACUUUCGGAUAGGGCUGUGAUCUGAGUCUACAGCUGGCCAGUGACAACAUGGGAUUUGCAACUGGCAUUUGAAGUGGGGGAGUCUUAGGGGACUGAGCCCUUCACCUGUGGGAUUUGAUGCUAUCAGGUGGUUAGAUAGGGUCAGGAGAGAUUGAAUUGGAGGACACCCAGGUGGAACCUGGGGAACUGGAGGACUUGGUUUUGGUGUGGAAAAAACCUAGAAGUGCUGUGAGUAGAAACAGCCCAGAGUGGGCUUAUUUGGCAAACAGAAUAAUGUCCCUGCAUGGUGUGGAUACUCUCAAACCGAGAGCCUGUGAGUCUGUCACUUUUCCUGGCAAAAGAGACUUUGCAGCUGUGAUUAAACAUCUCGGGAUAGGAAGAUCCUCAAGCAUACCCAAGUGGGCCCCAUGUAAUCACAAGUGUUAUAUACAAGUCGGAGGCAGAAGAGCCAGUGGAUGGAGAAAGGGCCACAGUCAAGGAACACAGGAAGCUUCUAGAAGCUGGAAAGCACAAGGAGCAGAUUCACUCGUCGAGCCUCCAACAGGAUCACGGCCCAGCUGCCACCUCGAUUUUCACCCCGUGAGACAAAUUUGGAACUUCUGACCACCAGAACUGUAAGGUAAUAAAUUUGUGUUGUUUUAAGCCACUAAGUUUGUAGUGAUUUGUUACAGCAGGAUUGGGAAGCUCAAUCGAUGCUUGUAAAGUGCUCAGAACAGAGCCUGGCAGUUGGGGAACGCUCCCUAAGGUUGCCUAUUAUUGUCGUGAUUUCUUGCCACCAAGUUCUAGGUUAGACUCAGCGUUGCUCUCGUGUUGAAGGGAAACAACAAUGACAUCACCCACCAUCAGCAGCAAGUUCCUGACAUCCUGAAGUUUACACUCAGGAGGAGGGGACAGAUUACAAACAAAGAAGUAAAUAAAUGUUAGUGAGGAGGAAGAAAGCAAAGGGGACCAACACUGCUGAGCUCCCGAGGUUGGGGUCUGUGAAAAUGAGUGGCAAAGUUGGGAAAUUUCUUAAGACAACGUGACAUUGGAGCAGAAGGCCUGAGUACAGAAGGGACAGGGCCCAGUGGGGCUCCCCAGGCAGAUGAAGCAGCCAGCUUGAAGGCCCAGAUGAUGACACCUUGAGGAGGGGGUUGGGCAAGUGGAACCACCCGGAACCACAAUAACUCUGUGGAACCACAGAGAUAAUGUGAAGGCGAGACCCUGAGGACUGUGCAGGGAGCAGACAAACCAGUUGGGAGGAAGGUGGUGGAUUCAUUCACUUUGUGGAUUACACAGCUUCUUCCUUGCCCUCCCAAGUCAAGCCCAUCGAUUGCUUUUUAACCCCUUCCUGGCUGUGUGCUGCUUCUUUCAGGUGGAGAAAGAGGAAGGGGAAAAAAAGACUGGAUUUCAGCGACUAUGAACUAAGAAGGUUCUAUGAAGAAUGAAUUGAAGCUAUUGGUAGAAAUUAGGGGGGAAAAAAUCUAGCUGUAAGGACAGCACCUAAAGACCUGAACUUUUGAGUGGACCCCAGAUGAAUAUGAAUGAAGAGCACAGCUCUCUUUUGCAAAGCUGACGCAGGACGAGGAUGUUCCCGCCAGCGGGCUUCUGCUUGUCAUCCUUUCAAAUGUCAUGGUCAGACCUAGGAAAUUCCCUGGGAAGUCCCCUGCAUCCCAGGGUCUGCAGUUUGUCCAUUUGAGUAUGAUUCUGUUGGAUCUUGAGAGACUGUUUGAUCUUCAGGAAGCUAUUAUUAUGAAAUAGAUCUUUCUGCGGUGAGGAGACACAGUGGUACCCGGAGAGAUGAACGGGGUGGACCGGGAAAUGGGAAUCUGCGUCCUGACUUCAGUCCUGCCCCUACUGGCCUGGUGGCGUGAGGAAAGGCCUGUUUUUCCCUGGUCUCCACGGCUUUCUCUAUACGACGAAACGCCAUGGAGAUGGCGAGAGUGGAAGCAGUGGCCGUCGUGAUUAUGGUUCCCAGAUUCUAAAGAUCUUUCCCCUAAUUACUCUGGCUGGGUCCUCCAAACAAUCCCAUGAGGACGUUAGAGAAUACGCCAAGGUCUCUAUUUUACUAAAGGAGAAAGUGUAACUUGAAGACGUCAAGGCACUCACCCAGAGUCCUACAGCUGAAGACAAGGGCCCAGGAUCAUUCGUUCUGGAUGUGGAGAACUUUGUAUUCACCCAGCUUACCUUACACUGAUGCUUACCUCCUGGCGCGGACAAGUCCUGGAUGAGGUACGUCACCAGCUAGAAAUGGUCCUUCUGACUUUUUGAGAACUUCUUUCCCCUUAGUGAAAAACUGAACCUGUUUGCCCCAGUUUCUCAGCCACCUUAUGACUCGGCGAGCAAUUGCUUUAACUCUGACAAAAUGAGGCCACCUCCAACCUAAAUGGAGCCCGUUUUCAGAGUAAGACCCUGAGUGGAGACAGCUCUUUCCUGGAAGGAUAACAAAAGCAUGCUUUUGUGUGUAUUUCACUUGAUGGAAAGGAAUCCCCAGCGAGGCCAUUUUUUCCCCCUGAAUUCUCUCAAGUCCAGAAUGUAGCCAAGUUUCCAAGAUAAUCUCAGAAGAGCCAUUCAUCUAUGAAGAUGGCCAAAUUGUCUUCCAGCUCAGUAGACAGGGUAUGUUUGAGAGGGGAGGUGUGGGGGUGAAGAGAGGGGUGUGGGGAGAGGAUGAGGGAGACAGCAAGGGAGUGAGAUGUAUGAGGGAAAAAUGUGUGCCGACAAACGCUGACGGGGAGAGGAGAGAAACCAAAGGGCCAGCCCUGACUCUGGGGUCCGACCUGCCAGGGACACUUCCAGCUGAUCUUUUUUAGGACCUGUCACAGUCUGCCUGGCGAGCUGUCACUUCUCAUCACUUGGCUCUCACUGAGGAUCUUUGUGUCAUCACUGUCAUGAAGAGACCUGGCAACUGGCGCAGAAUUUCCUGGGGCGCUACCUGAUACGCCAUUAUUCGCCUCUUAUCAUCUUCGCAGAGUAGUUAGGCUGCUGUCAGAGAAAAUUUGCAAGAUGAAACCCAAGAGACAGAGCAUGCCAGAUGUUGUGGAGAGCACGACUGCCCAGUCCCUUUGGCCACACAUGCUGAAGUCAUGAAGUUGGGAAAUCUGACUCAGGAGUCACUGUCCAGUGUGGGAGCUGACGAAGCGCCAAAUGGUCUGGGACAACUGGUAACCCAGCCAGUCCCUGGAGCGUGGGCCUGGUGUGAGGGCUUUUUUGGGCAGAGAUCAGUCGGAGGGAGACUGGAGGGCUGGGAUUACUUCUGGAAUGUCAUGUUCUGGGAAGCCCUGAAAGGUCAGAUCACUUCUGGGGUCAGUAUCAGCCCCGGGCUUGGUAUCCCUGCGUUUGCAAGAGAAGUCCUGAGCACCUGGGGUGAAUGGUACCUUGGGUGAAUGGAACAGCACGUUGGAUGCGUACGCCUAAGCCAAACGAUAUAGGACAUUCAAUAGUUCAAAUGGGAGAAAGUGAGAAAGCACCUACUUCCGUGCUUUUUCUAAUACAGCUUCAUCUUUAUUAGAAUUACAGUGUGAUUCAGUCAUCACUGGGUAUACAAAUGAACAAACACAAUAGAGUAAACAAGGUUUUCACCUCAGGCUCGAAGUUCAACUUGUCACUCGCCUAGCCCAUUUACAAUUAGUUCUCUUCUGUCUCAUGCUGUUUUUCCAGGUUGAGGUGGCAUAUUUGCACCAGCCUUGUAUGGAAUCAGGAGCCUUGAGCUGUGUGCUCAGUCUUGACACAACCCCACCAGGAUCUUCUUCUCCAGCCUUGCUGUCAGCUCCGGAAGCCAUCUUGGCUGCCUCUGCUUCCCUGGAGACAACGGCCCCUUUCUGGCCUCCCAUGAAACACAUUUCGCAGACACGGAGUCCUCUCAUCAGCCGUGCCUCCGUACCCUGGUUCUCAACGAAGUUUGCAUAAUGGUCCCCUGGGACACUCGUGAUAAAUGCAGAUCACUGGCUGUCCUCCACAGAGGUCUGAGUGGGCCCCUGCAGACCGCCACAUUCUUAGUCCGUUCCCAGGUGAGUCUGACAGAGUGGCUGAGAGCGGCUGGCAUGCCCGGGACAGCUGCCUCAGGAACUUUUCUUUCCGAGGAGGCCUCAGCAUGCCUCCUUCUGUCCCCGCCGACCCGGCAGGUGCAGACAUUUGCUAACAGAAGUUCUUUGCUGUAUUGCUGUCUGUCAGAGCAUUUUACAACUAGCUUUCUGCAGAACAGUAAAAAACAAAAGGGUACAGCUUAAACAUAGCCAAACAACUUUUAACAGAGCAGUAAAGUGAUUUCCUCACCGGGCUCUGCUCUGCAGAUCUGCGAAGCUCUGCUCACUCUGGACCUUCUUGUACGUUUACCCUGGGCCCACCUCCGAUGCCCCCUCACGCAGACCUGGACCGCCAAGUGGAAAGUAGUCUCCAGGGAUCAUCACACUGGCUUAUUUCAGACCUGGGUCCCCCAGGGGCAGCUGGGAGCUGGCCGAGGCCUCAGGGCAGCUGAGAGCAGAGCCUCAUGCCCAGUGCUGCCUGGUGGCCUUCUGAGCUCCGCCACCUGGGUGGUCUGCAUGCUGGCAGAGCACAAGGCUGCGGGAGUUCACAGCCCCUCUGGGGGACAUGACGGAUGGCCUUGCUGACAAACCGUGGUCUGCUUUCCAUCUCUGAGCCAUGAACGGUUUCGUUUUCAAAGCCAGAAAACAAACCACGGGAACCAGACACAACACACGCAGGCCACAAAUGAUGCAGCCAUAUUCUCGUCUCAAGGAAGGGACCUGCAAAGGUAAAAGAAAAACAGUUUUGUUAGAACUCUUCGAUGAAAAGUUAAUACAGCAAACUCAACCAGAGCUUGUAAUGGGAUGCUCUGCACCAUCCCUGACUGGGCCUUCUGACCCGGUUGACAGUCAGUCCUCUCUGGUGGGCAAACCUAUCUGAUGCACUCCAUCCUGGGGAGCUUCCCAGGCCACCAUGGUGGGGGAUUUGGACAGGCCAGGGGAGGCUCUGGGACUCUGCACUCACCAGCUGCGUUUCUAUCUGACUUAUUCAUAGAGUGCUGCCAAAAUCCCACUUGAGGAAAACAUUCUGCAGGUAAACAACAGUGGAACUAUUCCAG
Enhydra lutris kenyoni (northern sea otter) is the source of this 7105-nucleotide long non-coding RNA. RefSeq lists it as uncharacterized. The record is from RefSeq and is a predicted model, not a curated record. Lineage: Eukaryota; Metazoa; Chordata; Mammalia; Carnivora; Mustelidae. The transcript has 5 exons.